GGCGGCGUGCAGCCAUUUCCGGUUUCGGGGAGGUUGGAGGGGUGCGGAGCGGGACUUGGAGGCGCUGCCGUUUCGGCCGCCGCUUACGGAUCCUAGCUUGCGCCUAGUGCUGCCGAGACGAUGCGGACGGAGCCCGGAGGCUGCUGCUGCCGUCGCCCGCUGCGGGCGAACGACUGCGUGGCGAACGGGGAGGUGCGCAACGGGUACGUGAGGAGCAGCGCCGCUACUGCCGCAGCCGCUGCCGGCCAGAUACAUCAUGUUACACAAAACGGAGGACUAUAUAAAAGACCAUUUAAUGAAGGUUUUGAAGAGACGCCAAUGCUGGUCGCUGUGCUUACUUAUGUGGGGUAUGGUGUCCUCACUCUCUUUGGAUAUCUUCGAGAUUUCUUAAGGCAUUGGAGAAUUGAAAAGUGUCACCAUGCAACAGAAAGAGAAGAACAAAAGGACUUUGUGUCAUUGUAUCAGGAUUUUGAAAACUUCUAUACAAGGAACCUCUACAUGAGGAUUAGAGACAACUGGAAUCGGCCCAUCUGCAGUGUGCCUGGGGCCAGGGUGGACAUCAUGGAGAGACAGUCUCAUGAUUACAACUGGUCAUUCAAGUACACAGGGAAUGUAAUUAAAGAUGUUAUAAACAUGGGUUCCUACAACUAUCUUGGGUUUGCACGGAAUACUGGACCAUGUCAAGAGGCAGCUGCCAAAGUCCUGGAGGAAUAUGGGGUUGGAGUGUGCAGCCCUCGGCAGGAAAUUGGAAACCUGGACAAGCAUGAAGAACUAGAGAAGCUUGUGGCAAGUUUCUUGGGAGUGGAAGCUGCUAUGACAUAUGGCAUGGGAUUUGCAACAAACUCAAUGAACAUUCCUGCUCUUGUUAGCAAAGGUUGCCUGAUUCUGAGCGAUGAGCUGAACCAUGCAUCACUGGUUCUAGGAGCCAGACUCUCAGGAGCAACCAUUCGAGUCUUCAAACACAACAAUAUGCAAAGCCUAGAGAAGUUGUUGAAAGAUGCCAUUGUUUAUGGUCAACCUCGGACACGAAGGCCCUGGAAGAAAAUUCUAAUCCUUGUGGAGGGAAUAUAUAGCAUGGAGGGAUCUAUUGUUCGCCUUCCUGAAGUGAUUGCCCUUAAGAAGAAAUACAAGGCAUACUUGUAUCUAGAUGAAGCUCACAGCAUUGGGGCUCUGGGCCCUACAGGACGAGGUGUGGUGGAUUACUUUGGCCUGGAUCCUGAGGAUGUGGACAUUAUGAUGGGAACAUUCACAAAGAGCUUUGGUGCUUCUGGAGGAUACAUCGGAGGCAAGAAGGAGCUGAUCGACUAUCUGCGGACACAUUCUCAUAGUGCAGUGUACGCCACGUCACUGUCACCACCUGUUGUGGAGCAGAUCAUCACUUCUAUGAAGUGCAUCAUGGGGCAGGAUGGCACCACCCUUGGCAAAGAGUGUAUACAGCAGUUAGCUGAAAACGUCAGAUAUUUCAGGAGACGUCUGAAAAAUAUGGGCUUCAUCAUCUAUGGAAAUGAAGAUUCUCCAGUGGUGCCUCUGAUGCUCUACAUGCCAGCCAAAAUUGGCGCCUUUGGACGGGAGAUGCUAAAGCGGAAUAUCGGUGUAGUUGUGGUAGGAUUUCCUGCUACCCCAAUCAUUGAGUCCAGAGCCAGGUUUUGCCUGUCGGCAGCUCAUACCAAAGAAAUGCUUGAUACUGCUUUAAAGGAGAUAGAUGAAGUCGGGGACCUAUUGCACCUGAAGUAUUCCCGUCAUCGGUCAGUACCUCUAUUGGACAGGCCCUUUGACGAGACUACAUAUGAAGAAACAGAAGACUGAGCCUUUUGGUGCUCCCCUAAAGGAACUCUCCCUCACCCAGGAGUGUGUGUGGCCUUUCCAGUCCAGUUGCAGGAACCACACUUCUUGUGCAAGAGAUUUCCUCAACUACUGAUGGUGGCCACCUCCACUCUAAAUGAUAUUUUGUAAAUAGUGAAAAACUGCUUCACAUCCUUCCUUUGCUACAUCACCUUUAAAAAAAGAGGAUCCUAGUUCCCCGACCACGGAUCAAACCCGCGCCCCCUGCAGUGGAAGCGCGGCGUCUUAACCACUGAACCGCCAGGGAGGUCCCUCCUGGUUCUCUUGUAUAAAGAAUUGCUGUGCCCUAAUUCCCAGGGUGUCUUUCCUGGUGUUCUAGGUAAGCCAGAAUAGGUUUUAAUCUGUACUUGCUAUAACCCAUGUGGUUAGAAAAAAUGGGAAAGUUGUGGUUUUCCUUCUGUCCACUUUCAUGAAGGUCAAGCACUGUUGAGUACUUCACACAGGUAAAAUCAUCUUAGCCCAAAGGAGUUACGAAGGGGGAGUUACGAAAAUCAAAGGAUUCUUCUUGGCUCUUGAGCAGCUGUUUGCUUAAUCCGUUAAGCCAGUUAAUUAAAACACCUUCCACGUAAAGAAAACCUUGUCCACUCUCUCUUCAGCUUUAUCCACAUGAAAUGCAGUGUUCAGGCUCCUAGCCAUUUGCCAUGUGCCCAGAUAGCUGGGUUAGAAGGCUGGCUUCCUCCCUUAUCAUACAGAGGAAAUGCCAGGACUAGCCAUUGAUCCCUUUGCUUUUAAUGUGUAGAAAAUGCUGUUGCCCCUUUUGUCAUUUCUAGUGACUUCUGUUUUCUAAGCACCUCUUGCUAUAGAUUGAGCCUUUUCUAGGGAGGAAACCGAAGGGGCUAGCUCGAGCCCUUAUUGGAAAUGUUUAUUCUGAUGUCUCUGCUGAGUCUGAGGUAUCACAUUCCCAGUCAUCCUUGGGACUGACUUGGGGGAGCUGUGGGCAGGGUCUCGUUUACUGUGUAGUACAUGUGAUAAAUGGCCUUAUAAACUUGUGAUUUUUUGUGGUAUGAUGAGCUUAUUAAACUGACCAUAAAGAAUUUAGUGGCUCUUAAACUGCCUUUACUGUGUUUUUAAUGAAGCACACCAAAAGCUCUGUUCUUUUGGAGCAGUUAUGGGGAGAUUGAAUGAAAGGUAAAAAUCAGAGCAGUGCCCUGAUGUGCCAAGUGUCCUGCCUUGUUGCUGUCUGCAUGGAUAGUGGAUCCUUCCAUACACAAGGAGCCUUAAGCCCACUCAGUGUCUGCUUUUUCCAACACAGUUGCCGAGUUUCUUGUGCAAAGCUUUGUCGUUUGGCCCAGGCCUUCCAAGGAAGUGUGGGACAUAUCACUGACUAGGGGGGAGUGGUGACUUGUCUUCACCCUUGAUGUUAGGUCUUGUUACCUCAGUGGUGUUGAUGGUUGGAACGAUAAAAAGCAUCCUGGAUGGUUCUUCACAGGAUCCUAGUGAGAUCACCAUGUCAGCCAGCAUGCCAACAGUCUUGAUGAUCCCUCUCUGGAUAAAGGUAGCUAACAUUAAGAGAAGGGGGAAAGAGAUAAAAUAAGAAUAGAGAAAUAUCUUAUGGAGAGCCGAGAUCUUAUUUUGUUGGCCCAUAUUUUUUCAUUCCUGUAAACUGGAAUUUGCAAGAGGUGCUGUGAUAACCCUUCUCCAGUCCUUUAAUGCUCAUAUAAUCUGAGAAGGAGAAGGGGAAAUAUAAAUAAAACCUUUUAAAAUUUAGUAUUGUGUUAAAAUGUCACUCUCUCCCUUACCCACCCACCCCCCAUCUCCCUUUUUUGCCGGAUGAUUUUUCGUUGCUGUUGUUGUUGGAUGACUGUCAAGCUAUAAAUGAUGGGUUGGGGGAGGUGUAUCCAUUUUGAGAGUGCCUGUUAAGAGCUGAAGGGGAACUACUUGAGAUGACUUAAGAAUCAUCCCAUGAAAUAUAUUGUUUUGUUCCAAUAAAAUACUCUGA
Molecule: RNA transcript, 3781 nt
Organism: Physeter macrocephalus (sperm whale)
Lineage: Eukaryota; Metazoa; Chordata; Mammalia; Artiodactyla; Physeteridae
Gene: SPTLC2
Gene name: serine palmitoyltransferase long chain base subunit 2
Exons: 13
Source: RefSeq, a predicted model, not a curated record